Molecule: long non-coding RNA, 701 nt
Filed under: Marmota monax (woodchuck)
Lineage: Eukaryota; Metazoa; Chordata; Mammalia; Rodentia; Sciuridae
Source: RNAcentral
AGUCUCUCCCCUUUCUAUGAAAGGUGCUUAUUUUCCAUUAUUUUAGCACAUGGACGUUUGCUUGCCUGAUAGUGAAAAUACUGUAAAGUGGGGGAACAGCAGUUUCUUAUUCUUGGAGGGCAGCUGAGCUGGUGGAAUAGAUGAGGGCUUUAGAAGCAAAAUAUCUGUAUAGUGGUGAGAUAGUGGGCGAGGUUCUUAGCUUUUUAAAAGACCAAUACAAACUGAUUCUGGUGUUGUCCAAAGCUAAUAUGUUGCAUGUGGAAGGCCCAAGACAUCGCAUGACUUACACAUCGUGUAUGUUUAAAUACUAGUUGUGUCUUCCCGUUGAAGCGUUUGUGCUGAGUGCCGGACACAGAGAACUUGUCCCGGAACCCUCUGGACCGAAGGCUCAGUAGUGGUCAGAAAAGCACAUCUAGGGAAGACAUCCUUGCAAGAACAGAAAUGUGGGCUUUAUUUUUUCAUUGGUCUAUGGCCUCGGUUCUGGUAGGAUAGUGGUAUAAGUCAGGGGUGAGAGUUCUGGUCCCCUGGCACUCCUCAGGGCAAAAGAAAGCUACCGCGAUGGCUCUAGGCGUGCCUGAACAGAGAAGAAAAUAAAACUACCGUCAGGAAGGGAAGGACCCAGAGAAAGUUGGAGGUUAAGUUAAGGGCCUGAGAUCUUAUUAGAUAAAGUACUUUGACUUCUCGUUUAAGGGAUCUUCUUC